AUAAGUACGAAAUUAUUGACGCAGUCAACUGUCUUGGUCAGCACCCCAGCCCAGGCGUGAAUCAACACUGGCACAUUAUAUCAAAAUUAAGGAUGGUGGCUGAAGCUCAUCUCCUAUGUAAACACCUAAAUGCCAAGUCUGGACUUCAAAAACAGAUUCUGAAAGUUUAACCAGCAUUAUGGACAAAAAGUAUACACUUCGAACAGACACAAAAACAUAUAGGUCCAUGCCAAGCUAUGAAAGAUUUAUGCUGAGGAUGAAAGGGAAUUGCAGAAGAAUGAAUUGAUGUUAACAUCUCAACAUUAA
This is a long non-coding RNA of Saccostrea echinata, 306 nucleotides long. RefSeq lists it as uncharacterized. Lineage: Eukaryota; Metazoa; Mollusca; Bivalvia; Ostreida; Ostreidae. The transcript is spliced from 4 exons. The record is from RefSeq and is a predicted model, not a curated record.